This is an RNA transcript of Ostrea edulis (European flat oyster), 3740 nucleotides long. RefSeq lists it as uncharacterized. The transcript has 4 exons. Lineage: Eukaryota; Metazoa; Mollusca; Bivalvia; Ostreida; Ostreidae. The record is from RefSeq and is a predicted model, not a curated record.
AACUAAUUUCAUAAAACAAUGGGUUCUUUGUGUGAGACAGCGGUUCUACUUUUUUGUAUUUUUCAGUUCAGCCGGUAUGCUUUUGGCGUUUGUCCCACUAAGGUAAAAGGAAAUGAGUGCUGCUUUGGUCACUAUUGGGAUGAACGAAGUGGACGCUGCAAAGAAUGUAGAAUUGGUUACUUCGGAAAAGACUGUACGUUGAUAUGCUUUUAUCCUAAUUAUGGCGUGGAGUGUCAACAUCGCUGUGAUUGUGACUUGGAGUUGUGUAACCCAUUUACUGGGUGUAGUCCUCCGCAAGGUAUAUUGAAUGUGUCUAAAACUGAUUUUGAAGAACUUCAUCUUUUGAAAAGGAACUUGAGGAAGUAGAAUUACCAGAUGUGGAACUAAAACCAAGUGCAUUUAUAUGUAUAUCAGUUGUUAUAAUGAGUCUUACAAGCAAAGACGAGAAUACAUGUACAGAUAUUUAGAAAAAUUAAAAACAGUCAUUUGUUAAUAUAUUUUAAACCAUCCCGUGGGGAUCCAGGUUACAAUAUGUCCUCAGUACCCCCUUGGUUGUCGUAAGAGGCAACUAAAUAAUGAGACCGCUAAAACCGAGGUCCCGUGUCACAGCAGGUGUGGCAUGAUAAAGAUCCCUCCUUGCUCAAUGGCCAUAAGCGUCGAGCAUAGGCCUAAAUUUUGCAACCCUUCACCGGCAGUGGUGACGUCUCCAUAUGAGCGGAAUAUUCUCGAGAGGGACGUUAAACAAUAUUCAAUCAAUCAAUCUUAAACCCAGGGCUGAAAUCUUUAAGAAAUAUCCUGAUUAGAAAAGAGAUAUAUCAAACAAAAUAUUUUAAUCCGAUUGAUCAAAAGAUUUUCUCAUGUACGUUGUAAUGUCCAUAUAUACAACACAUCUGUAAUACAGAAUAGUUUAUUCCACAUUUUGACUUGCUACAACCAUGUUCUUUCAGAAUAUGUUAACUCUAAAAUACACCUGGUAAUGCACCCAACGUUUGUUUGUAGACAUAAGAUAAGGUUGAUGAAAUGACACGAAAAAUUAUAUAUUAUUGAGAAACGUCGCGUAUGAACUUGACAGAGGAUGAUCUGGACCGUUUUCCCUUUAGCUAGGUAAAGAGAUAUUGAUUCGCUUAUGAAAGGUGAAGAUAACGAACAGUGAUCAAUCUUAUAAAUCCUACAAAGAAUACAAAAUAGAAAUUUAGGAAACCCCUUGAUAUACCAGAGGUGGGGUCAGAUGCUUGGAGGAGUAAGCAUCCCCUGUCGACCGGUCACAACCGCCGUGAGCCAUAUAUCUUGAUCAGGUGAACAGUGUCCCAAGAAAGUCAGACAACAUAUGACCCAAUGAUAGGUUGUAUUGCCAAAUUAGAUUAUUAUGAUGUCCACCCAAUUUGCGAAAUGUUGACUUUAUACGAGACUGUUGAAAUCCCUGUAACAUCACCUUGUUUUUCAGUAGCCUGACUCUGUUUAAGAACUGAUCAUACGCAGAACAAGCUCUUGUUUAUUGAAUCAGUUGAAAUAUAUAAAAUUCAUAUGCAGGGAAUAAUAGAACAUUGCUUACAUAAAUAUGGGAAGUUGACGAUGGAACAGGUUAUUUGGUUAGUAUUACGUUCCUUCAAGACGUUUUCACUCACAUUGAGCCGUACUGUAUAACCAUCUGUAAGUGAAAUACCACACAUUUAGAUCUGUGUUUGGCGCUCAGGGCCGUAGCAGUGAGGGUUCUUUCACGUGCCAGCGCCUGAUUCUACUGCUCUACAGAACAUACGUAUACGCAGUGGGAUAAUUACUACAUGUAUUUAACACAGGCAUGGUAUGAACGGAGAUUGAACACACGACCGUCCGGUCAGGAAGUGAACGCUGUAACCACUGAUACGAUAUUGAUUCCAAUGUUGUUGCUUUUUACGUGAGACUAUAGUGUGAUUGGUACUUAUGUAGUAUGAUCUUUCUUUCAGAGAAGUAUGAAUCACAAUCGACUGUCUUUGUACAUACUCAACCAGCACUGUCUACUCCUAUUGCGUUAAAAACAUCGCCGGCAACCCGAGUGGAAGAGGGUUCACGUUUGUCGACGUUUCAAACAAUUUUAAUCGGAGUGUUGGGAAUAAUAGUGAUUUUCAUUUGUGUCUUUUCAAUCUAUGUAGCAAGACAAAUUAAAACCAACGACCACGAGAAUCAGAAGCUAAAAGCACAAAGGAAACGCAGUUCGAUUAGAGAACACAUCGAUUCAGAGUCCUAUGAAUCUUUACAGAGCAUUAACUUGACUCCACUGGAUUUAGUGGAAGCAGAACAGGGUAUGUGUAGAGGAGGAUCUGUUUAUCUCCAGUCGACCCAGGACACGACACAAAUCACCCAAGUAAACCGCCAUGAAUCGAGCAAUGCUUCUUUUCGUUCCGAUGGAGACGGUUAUGUGAUGCCUACACAAUCAUCGUCAAAACAUAUGCAAAAUGGAAAUGCGACAACAGAAAUAGUUACGAGUAAUAACACCUACCUAACAGUCAUUGAAGGCUAAACGCAUGACAGAUACAUUACAUCUUAAAACAUGAAUGAUGACUUUGAAGAGUGCGCAUACAAUGCAUGGCUUUAUAUUACACAACAUUUACAUAACAAUUUAUAUCGAAAUGCUUUAUGAUAUCUUUACGCUGUAUGUUGAAUAGAUUAUAUUUAUUCAUUUGUUAUACUACGAUAAAUUAUGCUAAAAACCGUAACAAAAUAAGGAUACACCACAAAUCUACCCGAUAAAAAAAAACCUUCAUUGUAUAGCGCAUUUGUUUCUGCGCACAAUUGGGAAAUUCCUGCAUCCUCAACUCAAAAUUUUAAUAUCCCUGUCAUAUUUCUCCACUACAUUUGUGUCAAAACAUACUUUAAAAGAUGUAUUACAGCUGAAGCGUGCCACAAACUUACAGUUUCAAAGACAUUUCGUUUUGUUGACGUACAUUUACAUGGAGCUGUGUUAGAGUUUUAAAUUCAUUGUUGAGUUACAAGUGUAUAUACAUGUACGUGUAUAUGAUGUUUUGAAACCAAACAUACAAUUUGAAGAGGAUCCUAAGUUUUAAAUUGCAAUGUUUCAUGAAUCAACAAGUAUCUAGAUGUCACAUUUCUGCAAAAAUAAAAACCAAAUUAAAAAACAUUCAAAGUUUGAUUAUCAUGCAAAUUCUCUAUAUAAAUGAUUUAUAUAUACACGUAAUGAAUCUCAUCCUCACUAUUAUAGUUAGGGAAAAUAGAAUAUUACAUAUGCUGAUUAACUGAUAUCCGUUAAUUGUAACAGGAAACCAAUAUCUCAAAAUAGAUUAAUUUAAAUAGAUUAAUUACGAUCACGUUUGUUUUAGCACAAAAUUCUAAAAUAGUCAAUAGAUCUUUUUCCUCUAUCGUUCUUGAUCUAUUUACUAAUAGUGAACUAGAUCUUGUACAUAUAUAUACUGUAAAGAAUAGGUUGUAGACUAAUGGUAUAAUGUUCAAUGUGACGGUAGCCUUGUUAUUUAGUUCUAAUUGUUUCGUAUGAUAUUACUCAUUAAAACCAGAUCCGUAUACGUAAUGUAAAACAAAGGUCAUCACGAGCACUGCAAUAAAAAAAAGAAAGAAUGUAGCUCAGUACAAACCCAAAAUGAAAUUGAUAUGUACAGGAUUAUAAUACAACUCUAUUGCACUGUUAAAAAAGAAAAAGUAACCUUCGCAUCAUGGGGUUUUUCCAACUGUUCUUGUGUGUUUUAUACUACCUAAUAAUCAUUAUUAAUGAUAAUAAAAUUGAGUGUCUU